This 474-nucleotide ribosomal RNA is filed under the name uncultured bacterium. Its description in RNAcentral is "bacterial SSU rRNA". It matches the Rfam family "Bacterial small subunit ribosomal RNA", at positions 28 to 521 of the family's 1533-position model. The record is from RNAcentral.
GACGAACGCUGGCGGCGUGCUUAACACAUGCAAGUCGAGCGGUAAGGCCCUUUCGGGGGUACACGAGCGGCGAACGGGUGAGUAACACGUGGGUGACCUGCCCUCAGCUCUGGGAUAAGCCUGGGAAACCGGGGUCUAAUACCGGAUAUGACUCCAUGACGCAUGUUGUGGGGUGGAAAGCCUUGUGCGGCUGAGGAUGGGCCCGCGGCCUAUCAGCUUGUUGGUGGGGUGAUGGCCUACCAAGGCGACGACGGGUAGCCGGCCUGAGAGGGCGACCGGCCACACUGGGACUGAGACACGGCCCAGACUCCUACGGGAGGCAGCAGUGGGGAAUAUUGGACAAUGGGCGCAAGCCUGAUCCAGCCAUGCCGCGUGGGUGAAGAAGGCCUUUAGGGUUGUAAACCCCUUUCAGCGGGGAAGAUAAUGACGUACCCGCAGAAGAAGUCCGGCUAACUCCGUGCCAGCCGCCGCUGU